CCGGCGAGGGGAGUGAAAAAGAACCUGAAACCGUGUACGUACAAGCAGUGGGAGCACCCUUUGGGGUGUGACUGCGUACCUUUUGUAUAAUGGGUCAGCGACUUAUAUUCUGUAGCAAGGUUAACCGAAUAGGGGAGCCGAAGGGAAACCGAGUCUUAAUUGGGCGUUAAGUUGCAGGGUAUAGACCCGAAACCCGGUGAUCUAGCCAUGGGCAGGUUGAAGGUUGGGUAACACUAACUGGAGGACCGAACCGAC
This 255-nucleotide ribosomal RNA is filed under the name Salmonella enterica subsp. enterica serovar Newport. RNAcentral describes it as "partial 23S ribosomal RNA". It matches the Rfam family "Bacterial large subunit ribosomal RNA", at positions 526 to 783 of the family's 2925-position model. Lineage: Bacteria; Pseudomonadati; Pseudomonadota; Gammaproteobacteria; Enterobacterales; Enterobacteriaceae. The record is from RNAcentral.